This is a long non-coding RNA of Trifolium pratense (red clover), 1584 nucleotides long. RefSeq lists it as uncharacterized. The transcript has 2 exons. The record is from RefSeq and is a predicted model, not a curated record. NCBI's taxonomy places the organism in Eukaryota, Viridiplantae, Streptophyta, Magnoliopsida, Fabales, Fabaceae.
GGUCUUUUUAAUAAUAUGUGGAAGUCAUUGCAGUUCUUUUGUUUUUAAUGUUUCUAAACUUUUUAUCGCAUGGGUCUUGAUCACGCCUUAAACUUUUAGUUUGCUGUGAUAUUUGUAUAAUUGUGUCUUGCAGUUAACUUCAUGAACAUGAAAUAUUUGCUAUCAACUAUUACUCUUUCAUUUUUUAUCUGAAGUCUAUAUUAUUGCACUUAGAAUUUCAUUAUGCUGGCUAUGCUUGAAUUUUGAGCAUGUAGAAGUCUAUAUUAUUGCACUUUCAAUUUCAUCUUGGGUGGUAGGUGCUUGAAUUAUCGCAUGUAGAAGUUCUCUGUUUUUUACUCUCUUUUGAUAACAGAACAACAAGUUAUGGUGUAGUAUAAGAAUAUGGAAAUGACAUAUUUUGUGAAUUGGAGCAUGUAGAAGUUCUCUGUUUUACUCUUUUAGUAACAGAACAACAAAUAAUAUAGUUAUGUCAAUCAAAUGUAUAGGAUAACUUAUAAGAAUAUGAAAUGACAUAUUCUAUGAAGAAUCAGCUCUAAGUACCACGUUACAUCAUCUUAUAGACACUACUACAUAAUGUUGUGAGUAAGGAAAAAAAAAAAGAAUGAUCAUGAUGCAAAUGACAAGGUUUUUUAUGUUCGAAAGGGGAUGCCAAACGAGCUGGUCAGGAGACGCAAACACUACACCUUUUCUUACUGAGUUGUGUAGGAACAUAUUGAAACCAUUGGACUAGGUAAAUGGUUUCAAUUUAGGGAAACCAUAUUCAGGUUUCAUAUGCAUAUUCAGAUCAAAUUCCAAGAUACAUUUUUUGGUCCAUUCCUAUUGUUUAUAUCUCAUUAAAUGUAUGUUUCUUCUAUGAAUUUUCUGUUGCUUAAAAUUGAUUUUAGAAUGGUUUCAGAGAGUUGUACUCUAAAACCAUUUAGCUGGUAGAAUGGUUUCAGAGAGUUGUACUCUGAAACCAUUUUGCUGGUAGAAUGGUUUCUGGUAGUUGAUGUUUAAUUGUUGCUUCCUAAACCAUUUUGCUGGUAGAAUGGUUUCAAAUGAUUAUGUUCCAGUUACAUCAUUAGUUUAGGCCAUUUGGAGGAACUACAAAAUUAACAUCAGUUCAUUUAUCUUAUCAAUCAAUUAUGAUUAUCUUUUUUUGUAAAACUUAUAAAUUGUUGGAGAUAAUAUGCAAGGUGCUGUGUUUGGAGAGCUACUAGAUUGUCUCUUGAAACCUACAAACAUCAAAGAGAAAAUAUCAAGCUUGAUGCUACUUGCAUCUCUUGGAAGCGAAUGCGAGGAAACUAUGUUAAAACAAUUGAUGUUGUUGGAGUUUGGCAAGAGAACAAUGUUGUUGAAACUGAAAAGACCAUUGAAGCUUUAAAAGAGUUGCAUAGUAAAUUUAGAAAAGUUCUCAGAAUUGAUGUUAUUCUUGUUGUAUAAAUUGUUGUAGACCUUUGGAUGUAUUUAUAUAUUUUAAGUUAUUUUAUGUGUCAUCUUGGGUAGAAAUUGUAAUAUCACCACAUACAUAUUGUAAAGAAUUUAGACCUAUAUUUGUGUACUAUCGAUUAAUGCAAUUAGAUUUCUAAUGAUUUUGCAAUAUCA